UACGUAGGGGGGCAAGCGUUGUCCGGAUUUAUUGGGCGUAAAGAGCGUGUAGGCGGUUUGGUAGGUCCGCUGUGAAAACUCGAGGCUCAACCUCGAGACGCCGGUGGAAACCAUCAGACUAGAGUCCGGAAGAGGAGAGUGGAAUUCCUGGUGUAGCGGUGAAAUGCGCAGAUAUCAGGAAGAACACCCGUGGCUAAGGCGGCUCUCUAGUACGGUACUGACGCUGAGACGCGAAAGCGUGGGGAGCAAACAGG
RNAcentral lists this ribosomal RNA (254 nucleotides) under uncultured bacterium. RNAcentral's name for it is "partial 16S ribosomal RNA". It matches the Rfam family "Bacterial small subunit ribosomal RNA", at positions 524 to 776 of the family's 1533-position model. The record is from RNAcentral.